Long non-coding RNA from Pan troglodytes (chimpanzee), 2548 nucleotides. RefSeq lists it as uncharacterized. The record is from RefSeq and is a predicted model, not a curated record. The transcript has 3 exons. NCBI's taxonomy places the organism in Eukaryota, Metazoa, Chordata, Mammalia, Primates, Hominidae.
AGACAGGGUCUUGCUCGGUCACCUAGGCUGAAGUGCAGUGGCACAGUCACAGUUCACUAUAACCUUGAACUCCGGGCUCAAAUCGUCUUCCUGCCUUGGCUUUCCAGAGGGUUUGGAUUACAGAACAAUUGCAAUUCAAUACUGGGAGGACUUCCAGAAGGAUUUCAUCAAAUAACAAGCGUGUUAUUCAGAGAUCCAUAAUGAUAUGUUCAGACCCAAGUACAGACACUUCUUUGGAAUGAUUAUAGCAGAAGAGAAAUUCAAAACAAACAAUGCAUUAGAUACUCUGCCAGAAUGGUCACCAAAAGUUUCAGAAGUGUGCUAGCUGCCAAGAAUAACACAAAACUUGUAACACGACAUGUCAACAUAAAACAAUGGAUGUGCAGAUUGGCUAAACCAUGAUAUAUAUAUAACAAUAGCCAAACAUUGUUAACUUGAAAAAUUCAUGAUUUCUCCCGUGUCAUAAAUUUGAGUUUUAUUUCUAAAAAGUUUUAUUUCCGUCUUUACUUUUCCAUACUUUCAGCCCUAACACUGCCCCCAAUUCUAAACUGACUUCUGUAAAAGAAAUUUGUUAAAUGAAUUCUUAUAGUUAAUCCCAGUAAUACAGAAUGCUAUUCAUGCACUGAAAGUGUGUGUGUGUGUGUGUGUGUGUGUGUGUGUGUGUGUGUGUGUGUGUGUUUUCUCUCAAAUAAAUUCUGGAAUUCAGUUUAAGAAAUACAAAUCUUGGGCCAGGUGCAGUGGUUCAGGACCUGUAAUCCCAGCACUUUGGGAGGCUGAGGUGGGUGGAUUGCUUGAGGCCAGGAGUUCGAGGCUAGCCUGGCCAACAUGGUGAAACCCCGUCUCUACUAAAAUGCAAAAAUUAGCUGGGUUUGAUGGCACAUGCCUGUAAUCCCAGCUACUAGGGGAGACUGAGGCAGGAGAAUUGCUUGAACCCAGGAGGCAGAGUUUGCAGUGAACCGAGAUCGUACCACUGCACUCCAGUCUAGGUGACGGAGUAAGACUUCAUCUCCAAACAAAAACAAAACAAAACAGAAAAACAAAUCUCAUAGUACCAAUCUUUCAAUCUGUAGAUUUACAUCUAAGAAGUAACGUCAGUCUAUUCUUGUCUUAGAAUUACUGCCAUUCAAUCUACUGCUAGUCUUGCAACAGUAAUAAAUAAAAAUCAAUCUAAAUAAAUUAUCACAAUAAUACAACGCAAAUGAAAGGAAUAUUAAGCCAACACCAUACGACUUCAAGUGGAAAUUUGUCAAAGAUCAAUAGUCUAACUUAUUCUUACCAUAAUUUCUAUCGUACAUAAUACAGUAUGUAUGUGUGUACAUACAUAUGUAUGUAUGCAUGUAUGUGUGUACAUACAUAUGUAUGCAUGUAUGUGUGCAUGUAUAUGAACACACACAUAUACUGUAUUAUGUGUAUAUAGCUAUACAGAUAUAUAUAGAUAUAAAGGCUGCUUCACCGCUUUAAGUUUCUCUUAUAGUACAAUGGCUCCCCUAAGAGGGUUACAGUAUUCCAUUGACUGCUCUGUGAAUUCAUUUGCUGUGAGUUAUUUCUGGCCAGCGAAAGCAUGCAGUUACCUUUUGAGUAUCGUUCAAGUAGGCACUCCAUGAUUUUACCAGAGGUUUUUCCUGUAGAAAUAAAUCUGUGUAUUAUUUGUCUAGUCAAAAACAGAGCAUGCUGACAUGGGAUCAGUGGGGGAUUGGAAAAUGGAUCUGGGGUUGAGAAGAACGAGUAAGAGGGAAUGUACUUAUUUCAAUAAUACACCCAGGACAAAAAAACAAAAUAUAUUAUUUAAAGUUAUGGAAGUAAUGUGUGUAUGGAGCUAUAUGCAGGAAAACCUUAAUCGGUUUAAUUCCUCUACACAAGUACUUAACUCUCGUCUGUGUAUGAUGUAAUUUUAUUGUCAUUUGAUUUCCAUUCCCCUUGUUAAUUAUUAUAUUUCACCACUUUUAACACCUUCUUGUUGUGCUUGAUUUAAGAAGAGAUGUAAAUAUGCAGCUUUUAAAAUCCUGGAGAAAAAUUAUCUACUCACCUCCCAUCAUACACAUACCUAAAAAAGCAUAUGUAUGCACGCAUGCACACACAUGCCACAAAUCUUGACUUUCCAUCCUAAGAAUGCACAGUGAAAAGGACAUUAUUUGCCUAUCACAGUAUCAAACAAUAACUCUUAAAAGCUCUUCCCAUCACACUUCCUUUUAAGAUAAGUGGGUAUUUUUUACAUUGAAACGAUACAUAGUAACCUUCUAAAGUAAGCCCCUAGAUUUAGAAUAUUUUGGCAGUAGUGUUUUUAGUGAGUAUACAGUGACUGAUACAGACAUUGUUAAAAUUAGAGGCUGAACAUGUUUGAUGUUUAUCUUUCCUCCUUCUCCUCCUUUCUCUCAUCAUUUCAUAAAAGCAAUGACUUGGAUUUUAUUAUGGAAAUUAUGCCAUUCUGUUUAGAGACAUCAUUUUUAAAUGUAGGUUUAGGUAUGUAUUUGUCUAAUAAUUAAUUACUAAUACUACCUGAGUCAAUAGUAAAAUUACUAUUCAAUAAAAUUCCUGUAAGAUAUAAUUU